GUGCUAGGUGUCAUCCCUCACUUUGAAGGGCACACGAAGCAAGAUAUCUAUGUAUAAUAAUUAAUUUUCUUAUUUUUGUUUUUACUUUUAAUGACUAGAGGCAACGGAAGCAAAGGAAAAAAUAAGAGUUCUCUAUUAUAAGCCUCUGGAACGAACAGGUUCUUCAUAUAUUAAAAAGAGGACAACUAAAAGUACAUUAAAGGACCAGUUCACAGAUUAAAUAAGAGCUAUAAGCAAAAGUACUUUAUAAAAUUCUAAAUGACAAAUGCUAUUUUAUCAUUAGUAGUAUAAUGGGACACAUGUCCCCACCUUGGUCCGCCUCCAUUAGGCUUAGUUCUUAAUGAAGUCCUUCUCAUAAGACAGAGGGAUAUGUAGAGAUAGAAUGCUACAGGUGGAGAAGGACAGAAGUUGGAUGAAAACAGAAAACAGAAAGAAGUAUAAAAGUAGAAGGAAGGAAAGAACAGGAACAGAACUGGUGCAUUUCUAAAUUCCU
Molecule: long non-coding RNA, 493 nt
Filed under: Bos taurus (domestic cattle)
Lineage: Eukaryota; Metazoa; Chordata; Mammalia; Artiodactyla; Bovidae
Description: long non-coding RNA NONBTAT024789
Source: RNAcentral